UGAAAGGACACACACUGGAGAGAAACCUUAUUAACAUAAGCAAUGUGGGAAAGCCUUUGUAAGUCUCAGCAAACUUCAGAGGCAUAAAUGAAUUCAUCCUGGAGAGAAAUCUCAAGAAUGUAUUUAAUAUGGUGAAGGCGUUAAAUGGUUUUAUAGUCUUCAUCAUCACAAAAGUAUACCAGAGAGAAAUUCUAUGAGUGUAGGCAAUGUGCUGAAGUCUUUAUGUUAUGGAGCCCACUUAGAAAUCCAACACGACACAAAAACCAGGGCUACGGGUAUUCACUAUGUAGUUGAUCUGUGUCCACUGAUGCAGGCAGGAUGUAGGUUUUACAGUCUAAAGAUCAUAUCCAUUUUCUCUUUGUGGUUAACAACAGGUAUUGUGUUUUGGGGUAAAAAAAGAUGAAUAACAGAAACUGUCGUUUGGAACAGUCAAUAUGUUUUGUGAAAUAGGAAAUGUGGUUAGGAACAAUCAUGUUUUGGGAAACAAAAAUGAAUUAUGGAAGCUUAUCAAUUAUUAGGGAGUCUCCAGCUCCCUUAUGUUCUGGGAACUUGAAUUUAGUUUCGCUCUAUGAUUAAAUGAAGUCUUAUA
This 589-nucleotide long non-coding RNA is filed under the name Rattus norvegicus (Norway rat). RNAcentral describes it as "long non-coding RNA NONRATT007237". Lineage: Eukaryota; Metazoa; Chordata; Mammalia; Rodentia; Muridae. The record is from RNAcentral.